This is a long non-coding RNA of Panicum virgatum (switchgrass), 865 nucleotides long. RefSeq lists it as uncharacterized. The record is from RefSeq and is a predicted model, not a curated record. NCBI's taxonomy places the organism in Eukaryota, Viridiplantae, Streptophyta, Magnoliopsida, Poales, Poaceae. The transcript has 2 exons.
AACGCAAUUGUCCUGGUGGCAUAUAUCCCUAGGAAAGUUUAUAAAACCGUAGGGAACCAUGGCAGCAAAAAAAUUUCCUGCUGGCCGCCACUACUCUGCCGCUCGGGGGAUUCAACAUUUUUGCCCGGUCUCUAUUUAUUUUACGCAAACAUCUCUCCUCUCACUCACUCUCCUGUUGCUGGCUCUCCUCUCUCUCUACUCAGAUCCAGUGAAGCAUGGGCGGAACGGCGACCAAUGCGGCGUCGGUGGAGCUCUGGCGAGCUAGCGCAGCGACUAUGCUUUCGGUGGAGCAGCGCGGGGACAAGCUCCGGCAAGCGAGGCGCGCAGCAGUCAAUCUAGGCAGAGAGAAGUGUGGCACGCGGGGGCGAAGGGCGAUGCAUCCUGGUGGCAGCAACGAGCUCACACGGCGGCGGCGGCGUGCCUGCAGGUGGUGGGAAGCGACGAUUGCUGCUCGGACGAGCGAGCGGUCGAUUUCCGGCCGAGCGAGCUGCAGCACGCGCAUCCCGACUCCAGCAUGCAUAGAGGAGAGCAAAGUCGUCCAAUGGUUUGCCUAAUAUGAUAUGGAGAAGCACUGCAGAGUCGACGAGCUGGACGGUGGCAUGCAAGCUAAGGAUGCAGCAUACUCAAAGAGCAUCCAGGCGAACGGAGCUCAUGCGGCAGCGGCACCGAGUCCAGCAAGAAGUUGCGGCAUGGAGGGGUUGCUUUUUUCUUUCUUUCUUUUUCUUAUCACCUUGAUCCUCCUGAUCUGUAGACCUCAUGGUGUUUGAACUCGUGGACUUGUUGAUGGUGGCUGUAAUUUUAGACCUGCUGCAAGCAGCUAAUAUGAGUAAUAUCAAUAUGUUGGUGGAUAUUAGCUAAAAUGAAA